GAAUAUGGGGGGACCAUCCUCCAAGGCUAAAUACUCCUGACUGACCGAUAGUGAACCAGUACCGUGAGGGAAAGGCGAAAAGAACCCCGGCGAGGGGAGUGAAAAAGAACCUGAAACCGUGUACGUACAAGCAGUGGGAGCACGCUUAGGCGUGUGACUGCGUACCUUUUGUAUAAUGGGUCAGCGACUUAUAUUCUGUAGCAAGGUUAACCGAAUAGGGGAGCCGAAGGGAAACCGAGUCUUAACUGGGCGUUAAGUUGCAGGGUAUAGACCCGAAACCCGGUGAUCUAGCCAUGGGCAGGUUGAAGGUUGGGUAACACUAACUGGAGGACCGAACCGACUAAUGUUGAAAAAUUAGCGGAUGACUUGUGGCUGGGGGUGAAAGGCCAAUCAAACCGGGAGAUAGCUGGUUCUCCCCGAAAGCU
RNAcentral lists this ribosomal RNA (425 nucleotides) under Escherichia coli. Its description in RNAcentral is "partial 23S ribosomal RNA". It matches the Rfam family "Bacterial large subunit ribosomal RNA", at positions 440 to 867 of the family's 2925-position model. Lineage: Bacteria; Pseudomonadati; Pseudomonadota; Gammaproteobacteria; Enterobacterales; Enterobacteriaceae. The record is from RNAcentral.